Pseudophryne corroboree (corroboree frog) is the source of this 900-nucleotide long non-coding RNA. RefSeq lists it as uncharacterized. The transcript is spliced from 5 exons. The record is from RefSeq and is a predicted model, not a curated record. NCBI's taxonomy places the organism in Eukaryota, Metazoa, Chordata, Amphibia, Anura, Myobatrachidae.
AGCACAGCUCCUCUCAGGCAGUCUGCAUGUGGCUUUGUGACGGAGAGCUGGUCGGGUGAGGCAGUGACUGUCUCUCUACUGACUGCAACAUGUAGAAGUCUGGUGGGGACUGUCGUAGUACAGCAGGAGGAUUAGUGACCAGCAACUGAAGAGCUUGCCAUGGUGCACAGACUGUGGAGAAGAGCCAGUCGGUCGCUGUUGCUUGGAAUGGUUCCCCCGGAGGACGCUGUCAUCAACUGGGAGACAAGACCCACGGCAUGGCUAGCAGGUGUGUGAGUCCAUGGAUGACUUAACACAUAAGUGGAUAUAAGCUUCUGGAGCUCUGAACCGGUGUCUGAUCAGUGAGCAUGUUGUAUGUCUUCGCCACUUGCCGUCUUGAAGCCUCUGCUUUUCCAUAUCUGGCCCACAAUCCCGUGCUGGGAUGGUAAGGAUCCUGAGUCUCAUAAUUUGGUAUUGAUUAGAAUGUUUAUUGCAAUAAUCAAUGAACAUAGCCAGCUAGUAUAUGUAAUUUCCUUAAAUGAAUUACAUAGAUAUUUCUGUGAGAAACUAUUUUGUUAAGAGCAAUAUGAUUUCUCCAGCUGCAUUCACAAGGACAUUUAGUUAACUCCCAGGCUAAGAUAGAACUUUAAUUGCAUGAUGAAAACAUUAAAGGAGUAUGUUUUGGAAUGUCCAGAUGACAAUGGAAAGAAGGCUUUUAAGAUGAAUGUCCAGAUCGUGAUAAGAGAAAGGCCUUCUCAUUAAAUUAAUGAGCAAACUGUGAUAAGAACAUAAAUAGAGGAAUGCUUUAAUUGGGUUGAUUAAAUCACUGUUUAUCUUUGCACACGGUGUACUUUGAUUGGCUAACACACUGCCAUACCUUUAUUCCUUUGUUCUUUUGUGUAUAAAUAAAGGCUCCUAGAG